Molecule: ribosomal RNA, 367 nt
Filed under: uncultured organism
Description: bacterial SSU rRNA
Rfam family: Bacterial small subunit ribosomal RNA
Source: RNAcentral
CGGAGGAUCCAAGCGUUAUCCGGAAUCAUUGGGUUUAAAGGGUCCGUAGGCGGGUUUAUAAGUCAGUGGUGAAAGCCCAUCGCUCAACGAUGGAACGGCCAUUGAUACUGUAGAUCUUGAAUUAUUAGGAAGUAACUAGAAUAUGUAGUGUAGCGGUGAAAUGCUUAGAGAUUACAUGGAAUACCAAUUGCGAAGGCAGGUUACUACUAAUGGAUUGACGCUGAUGGACGAAAGCGGUGGGUAGCGAACAGGAUUAGAUACCCUGGUAGUCCACGCCGUAAACGAUGGAUACUAGCUGUUCGGAGCAAUCUGAGUGGCUAAGCGAAAGUGAUAAGUAUCCCACCUGGGGAGUACGUUCGCAAGAAUG